Molecule: non-coding RNA, 264 nt
Organism: Vicia faba (fava bean)
Lineage: Eukaryota; Viridiplantae; Streptophyta; Magnoliopsida; Fabales; Fabaceae
Source: the annotation of a GenBank genome assembly
AUGAUUGGUGGAACAGGCCUGGGACAGUAUGCACCUAGUAUGAUUGCAUUUACAAAGACGGGGAUCGCAGCUGCUAAGAUUUUCCGGAUAAUCGAUCACAAGCCUGGAAUAGACAGAAACAGAGAACCAGGAUUGGAAUUGGAGACAGUUACUGGACUUGCUGAGCUGAAAAUGUUGACUUUUCUUACCCCUCUAGGCCUGAUGCAAACCAGGUUGAGAUUGAAGAAGCUUCUAGGGUUGCUAAUUCUUAUUCAUUUAUCAUAA